CGAGAAGAGCACACUCACAUUAUUCUGAUUAUUAGUGAUCAAGUUAGAAAAAUGAGCCCAUCUGGUAUUUCUAAUUGCUUUAUUGCUCUCUCAGAAUAUCAUAAUCGACCUGCAACUUUGAUUUCCUUCACUUCCGCUAUUCUGCAAUCUAUUAGUUUCCUCACUCAUCCUCUGUUUGAAUGUGGCCUUUUUCAACUUUACUGGAGCUGUAGCAUCAAUGGUUGCCCUUCAUUUUCUAUUAAAGUGAUCAACUAAAUUAUCAAAAGAGGAAGGCAGAAUCGGUGAUGGAGUAUUGCUCAUACAUACACUCAAUGAAAUCUGUAGAGGUAAGAUCUUCAGCGGUAAGAUAGCGUUUCUUAAUAAUGCGUUCAGUAUUACCCUGUGCUAUGGUUAACAAGGUAGUACAAAAUACACAGUGGGGAUCAGAUAAAGCAUCAUCAUCAACAAUAGAGAAUGUCAAUAGAAAGCCCCUUGGCAAUAAUCAGGUCCAGAGUAUUGGUAUGGUUAUGGUUGGGCCCAGUAGAGCUCAAAAUAUUCAGAAAUGCAAUGGCCUUGGAGUCAGUCUCUGUCAACAUGAAUAUUAAAAUCACCCAACACAAUGAUUUUGUCAUAGUUCUCAAGGACAAUAGACAAUAGUAAAUACAAAUCAGUAAAGAAAGUGGGGCAGUGCUUUGGUGACCUAUACAGAGUUAUGGCCAGCACUGGUGGCUGACAUUUAAACAGUAUAGCAUGAUGCUCAAAAGACCCAAAGUCGAAAUGAAAUGUCCUUACAGCUGAGAGCAUUAGUAAAAAUGGAACCUGUCCCCCCACCCUUUCCCCCUUUUCUGAUAGGGGGGGUCAAUAAAAGUGGCACUACAGUCUGAAGACAGCCAUGUUUCAGUGACAUGCAAAUCAACUUUGCGCUCAGUAAUGAGGUCAUUCACGAGAAAGAUUUUACUAGUGAUUUCUCUCGUGAUCUGCCUUGAGGUAACCAAUGGAAUAACAAUCAAAUUAAAAUUAAAACCACAUUUUCUGACAGUCUCCAAUCUAUCAGAAUGGUAGGAGAUGACAGUUUGUAUAAACUCACUAGAAGGUAGAGUUAAAGGAACAUAAAUUAGGUUACUCACAACGACCAUAGUGCAAUUUCUAUAGGAGUUGAUAUGGUUUCCAAGUCCUCUGUUGCUUAUUCUGACAGGAAGAACUGGGGCACUACCAGACCCUGUCUGUCAGUCUAUAAAACAGUUUGCGAUGUUGUUGGAAAUAAUCCUGGAACCCCUGCGGUUAGGGUGAAUCCCGUCUCUUUUGAAAAGUGCUGGUUGCUCCCACAGCAAAUCAAAGUUGUCAUAAAAAGAGACAUUCCUGUCGUUGCAAAGUUUCUUCAGGUACUCGUUUAGGGUAAAGAGUCGGCUGAAACGUCCAGGAGGACAGGAGGGGCAGAGAUAACUAUUAUCUUCCCUGCGCUAACGAGGGUCUUUAAAAAAAAUGUAGUCCUCCCUCAGUUCCUCAAAUCACCUAAAACGAAGGUUGUUAAAACCUAUGUGAGUGACAUUGGUUUCAAUAUUGGAGUAGUUGGCCAGAACCGUGGGCAGGAGAGAUUUGAUGUCAUGGACACGGGCACCUGGGUAACAGUGGACCUUGGUCAGUCCACAGACCGUAGGAAGGCCAAAAUCUCUCACCAUCGGGCUGCCCACAAUGAUGGGGGUAGUGAUAGAAUCCGAUGGGGAAAUUACCUGCUGACUCCCGGGGCUCGUAGGUCCGUCUGAAGUGGGGCAAAGCUGUGUGAUAGCUGGAUCGGAUCUUCUUGGACAGACGGGUGGCCAGACUGCCUCCUCGAUCUCCUAUGCCUUGCGAGUGUCCAGUCUCCCAUGGGCCGUGGAGUUGAGCCUAACGUCUGUCUGUUGGAUUGGGACAGAUCAACGCCGCCGACUCAUCAACAGCUUUGCUAUAGGAGGAAUUUAAAACUGAGAUUUGGUUUGCCUGAGUUACAGCAAGAGGCCAGCCAUGGAGGACAGGAGACUUCCCCCUACAGUGCCCUUAGUGGUCAAAACUGAGCCAGACACAGAGACCCGUAGGGUGAGAGAGGAGGAACAGCCUACCAUUCCCAUCAGGGUUAAAAAAGAGGACCUCUCUGAAGUGCCCCUCAAAGUGCCCAGAUUCAAGUACGUGGACUUCCCUUCGCUACACCAGUGCAUCCAGCAGCUCACUGUGCCACCCCUGGACAGCUGGCUGGAAGGCUUUCCCCUGGCUCUGGGAAGACCCUCUGGAGGACACACCCCUGUCACUUCCAAGGAGAGAGUUCCCAAGUUUCGGUAUGUAGAUUAUCCCUCCCUGCACCACUGCAUCCAGCAGCUGUCUGUGCCGCCUCUGGAGAGCUGGAGCUCGGGGUUGGCCAGGUCAGGGUGUGGGGUGACAGGUGGACCUGGAUCCACCAACCCUCAGCCCAGCUCUGUGAGGGAGAAUCAGACAAUACAGGGAGAUGGUUCAGCAUCGGCUCACAAACAGGACAAGUAUACUGCUUUCCCCUUUCCUGGUCCUGACUCCGGCUCCAUCCAGUGUGUGACCUCCUCAAACAAGGCAUCCCAUAAGCCUCAGCGGCUUCAGCUGCGCUUGAGCAGUCCAACCGGAACCAGGCCCGCAUUAAGCUCACAGGGGGAAGAGGCUCGCCAUAAGGUGGUGUGUUCAGAUCAGCUGUCUCAAAAGUUCUCUAAUCCCAAAUCUUGGGUUGCUGGAAUGAAGCGUGUCAGAGGAGCGGGCCCACUCCAUCAGAGCAAUAGGAAGUCAGCUGGUGAUGAUGAAUGGCAUGCAGACCUAAAGAAAACUCCACAAAGUCAUCAAGAGGCCCAAGUAAAGCUAAGUGACUCUCCUGACCUAGGACAAGGGUUUUGGAGAACCAUCCCAGAGUCUGUCUGCCCCUUUUGCCAAAAGAUGUUUUCAGAUCCAGAGGAAUUGCGGAUCCACCAGAAGAGUCACAGAGAAAAGAAGCCUCAUUGAUGUCUUGACCAAGGAAAUGUACAGCUGACAACAAUGAACAUCUUAAAAACUGUGCAUCUACUUCAGUACUUGCUACACAGGCGUGGACUAGGGCUGGCUUCUCCACAAAUGAUUGGUCACCUGAUAAGAUUUCCACUGAGGUUGUUUUGAGUGUUCAGUGUUAAUCUUGAUGACCUAAGUGACUGACUAUAAACAAACCACUUUAGCUAAGGGCUUCAUUCAUAAUUCAGUCUAGGAAUUAAGCUCUCAAUGUGAAAAACUGACCUGCAGUGGCUCUUGGUGGUCUUACAACUCCUUAUUUACCUAUGGGUUAAUUUGCCAGGAGGUGGUACACAUUAGAUGAGAUAGAACAAGGAAAUGAGCCAUUUGAUGUUGUUUAAAUUAAAAUGUCAGGAAUUAGAUUGAAAUGCAAUGCAGUGCAUACAUUUUUGUAUUACUGUAGUUGAGAAUUAGACUUUCAUUUAUUUUCCUUAAAAGGGAUGCCAAUGUUUUCCUGUUUACAAGCUGUUCUUGGCAGAAACAUUAAUAAGUGGGGGUAUCAGCACCUUGUUCACUGGAGAUGGCUGCCUGUUCCAAUAUUUCAACAUAAUUAUCUAGAUUUGGGUGCCUAUAAAACCUUUAACUUUUGGCUUAUGCUGCGAAACAACACAUGCUUCUUUAUAAUUUCUUAUCUAAUGUUUUUAUGCUUUGUAUUUUAAUGUUUCUUUUUUACCAUGACAAUUAUAUGUAUAUUAUUGAUUGUAUUGUCUAGAAAUAACUUUAAACUUUUCUUAAACUUUGUUUUAAAUUCUGUGUGCAUUAAAGAUUUUCUAGUAAAGAUGACUCUACUUUACAUCUCCAACAAAUGCUUUACACUUACAAG
This 3832-nucleotide long non-coding RNA is filed under the name Salmo salar (Atlantic salmon). RNAcentral describes it as "lncRNA (ENSSSAG00000108439.1)". The record is from RNAcentral. Lineage: Eukaryota; Metazoa; Chordata; Actinopteri; Salmoniformes; Salmonidae.